AGCAGCCGCGGUAAUUCCAGCUCCAAUAGCGUAUAUUAAAGUUGUUGCAGUUAAAAGCUCGUAGUUGAAUUUCGGGACCAAUUUGUUGGUCGUGCCUCGGUACGUACUGGUAUUAUUGGUUUCUCCCUUCUGAAGAACCUCGAUGCCAUCAAUUUGGUGUCGUGGGGAAUCAGGACUGUUACUUUGAAAAAUUAGAGUGUUUAAAGCAAGCAUACGCUUGAAUACAUUAGCAUGGAAUAAUGAAAUAGGACGUUUGAUUCUAUUUUGUUGGUUUCUAGGAUCGACGUAAUGAUUAAUAGGGAUAGUUGGGGGCAUUAGUAUUCAAUUGUCAGAGGUGAAAUUCUUGGAUUUAUUGAAGACUAACUACUGCGAAAGCAUUUGCCAAGGAUGUUUUCAUUAAUCAAGAACGAAAGUUAGGGGAUCGAAGACGAUCAGAUACCGUCGUAGUCU
This 450-nucleotide ribosomal RNA is filed under the name uncultured Glomeromycotina. RNAcentral describes it as "SSU rRNA". It matches the Rfam family "Eukaryotic small subunit ribosomal RNA", at positions 569 to 1026 of the family's 1831-position model. Lineage: Eukaryota; Fungi; Glomeromycota. The record is from RNAcentral.